AAUCGGGGGUGCUUCCGGGAAACCGGCGGCUGAGAUGGCGCGAGCCAAACCCUUUUACCUGAUACGGAUAAUGCCGUCGUAGGGAGAUUC
RNAcentral lists this non-coding RNA (90 nucleotides) under chicken gut metagenome. Its description in RNAcentral is "TPP riboswitch (THI element)". It matches the Rfam family "TPP riboswitch aptamer (THI element)", at positions 7 to 92 of the family's 105-position model. Rfam says of the family: Vitamin B(1) in its active form thiamin pyrophosphate (TPP) is an essential coenzyme that is synthesised by coupling of pyrimidine and thiazole moieties in bacteria. The previously detected thiamin-regulatory element, thi box was extended, resulting in a new, highly conserved RNA secondary structure, the THI element, which is widely distributed in eubacteria and also occurs in some archaea. Analysis of operon structures identified a large number of new candidate thiamin-regulated genes, mostly transporters, in various prokaryotic organisms. The record is from RNAcentral.